This 253-nucleotide ribosomal RNA is filed under the name uncultured bacterium. RNAcentral describes it as "partial 16S ribosomal RNA". It matches the Rfam family "Bacterial small subunit ribosomal RNA", at positions 524 to 776 of the family's 1533-position model. The record is from RNAcentral.
CACGGGGGGAGCAAGCGUUGUUCGGAAUCACUGGGCGUAAAGGGCGUGUAGGCGGUCAAGUAAGUGGGAUGUGAAAUCCCUCGGCUCACCCGAGGACCUGCAUCCCAAACUGCUUGGCUUGAGUAUGGGAGAGGAUGAGGGAAUUCCUGGUGUAGCGGUGAAAUGCGUAGAUAUCAAGAGGAACACCUGAGGUGAAGACGGGUUGCUGGGCCGACACUGACGCUGAAGCGCGAAAGCCAGGGGAGCAAACGGG